Molecule: ribosomal RNA, 492 nt
Filed under: uncultured bacterium
Lineage: Bacteria
Description: partial 16S ribosomal RNA
Rfam family: Bacterial small subunit ribosomal RNA
Source: RNAcentral
AGUGAACGCUGGCGGUAGGCCUAACACAUGCAAGUCGAACGGCAGCACAGUAAGAGCUUGCUCUUACGGGUGGCGAGUGGCGGACGGGUGAGGAAUACAUCGGAAUCUACUUUUUCGUGGGGGAUAACGUAGGGAAACUUACGCUAAUACCGCAUACGACCUACGGGUGAAAGCAGGGGAUCUUCGGACCUUGCGCGAUUGAAUGAGCCGAUGUCGGAUCAGCUAGUUGGCGGGGUAAAGGCCCACCAAGGCGACGAUCCGUAGCUGGUCUGAGAGGAUGAUCAGCCACACUGGAACUGAGACACGGUCCAGACUCCUACGGGAGGCAGCAGUGGGGAAUAUUGGACAAUGGGCGCAAGCCUGCUCCAGCCAUACCGCGUGGGUGAAGAAGGCCUUCGGGUUGUAAAGCCCUUUUGUUGGGAAAGAAAAGCAGCAGGUUAAUACCCCGCUGUUCUGACGGUACCCAAAGAAUAAGCACCGGCUAACUUCGUG